This is a non-coding RNA of Caldicellulosiruptor saccharolyticus DSM 8903, 92 nucleotides long. The record is from Rfam. Lineage: Bacteria; Bacillati; Bacillota; Caldicellulosiruptorales; Caldicellulosiruptoraceae.
AACUGGCGAUGAGGCAAAAGGUUGCUGCAAAGGUAAAGGACUUUGCAGGGAAUUUUUGCUGAGUAUGUCUUGUCCUUUGAGACGGGCGACAC